Molecule: ribosomal RNA, 497 nt
Filed under: uncultured bacterium
Lineage: Bacteria
Description: partial 16S ribosomal RNA
Rfam family: Bacterial small subunit ribosomal RNA
Source: RNAcentral
GAUGAACGCUGGCGGCGUGCCUAAUACAUGCAAGUCGAGCGAACAGACGAGGAGCUUGCUCCUCUGACGUUAGCGGCGGACGGGUGAGUAACACGUGGAUAACCUACCUAUAAGACUGGGAUAACUUCGGGAAACCGGAGCUAAUACCGGAUAAUAUAUUGAACCGCAUGGUUCAAUAGUGAAAGACGGUUUUGCUGUCACUUAUAGAUGGAUCCGCGCCGCAUUAGCUAGUUGGUAAGGUAACGGCUUACCAAGGCAACGAUGCGUAGCCGACCUGAGAGGGUGAUCGGCCACACUGGAACUGAGACACGGUCCAGACUCCUACGGGAGGCAGCAGUAGGGAACCUUCCGCAAUGGGCGAAAGCUUGACGGAGCAACGCCGCGUGAGUGAUGAAGGUCUUCGGAUCGUAAAACUCUGUUAUUAGGGAAGAACAAAUGUGUAAGUAACUAUGCACGUCUUGACGGUACCUAAUCAGAAAGCCACGGCUAACUACGUG